AUCUAAGUAGUUUAAUAUAAGAAUAAUAAUUUGUGAUGUUAUAGGUAUAGGUUUAUCUUAGGUA
RNAcentral lists this transfer RNA (64 nucleotides) under Gorpis annulatus. Its description in RNAcentral is "tRNA-His". Lineage: Eukaryota; Metazoa; Arthropoda; Insecta; Hemiptera; Nabidae. The record is from RNAcentral.